Long non-coding RNA from Brienomyrus brachyistius, 192 nucleotides. RefSeq lists it as uncharacterized. NCBI's taxonomy places the organism in Eukaryota, Metazoa, Chordata, Actinopteri, Osteoglossiformes, Mormyridae. The transcript is spliced from 3 exons. The record is from RefSeq and is a predicted model, not a curated record.
CUCCUAUUUGCCAAGUUUUCUGACAAUCAGUUCUUGAAAUCAGGAAAAACGGGUGCCGGUACUCCCCUUGUUAUUCAGUACCAGGUGCCGGUACUCCCCUUGUUAUUCAGUACCAGGUGCCGGUACUCCCCUUGUUAUUCAGUACCAGGUGCCGGUACUCCCCUUGUUAUUCAGUACCAGGUGCCCGUACUC